This 254-nucleotide ribosomal RNA is filed under the name uncultured bacterium. RNAcentral's name for it is "partial 16S ribosomal RNA". It matches the Rfam family "Bacterial small subunit ribosomal RNA", at positions 524 to 776 of the family's 1533-position model. The record is from RNAcentral.
UACGUAGGGGGCAAGCGUUGUUCGGAAUUACUGGGCGUAAAGGGCGCGUAGGCGGCAUGGCAAGUCAGGAGUGAAAGGCCUGGGCUCAACCGAGGAACUGCUUUUGAUACUGCCAAGCUGGAGUGCGGAAGGGGCAACUGGAAUUCUCGGUGUAGCGGUGAAAUGCGUAGAUAUCGAGAGGAACACCUGCGGCGAAGGCGGGUUGCUGGGCUGACACGUGACGCUGAGGCGCGAAAGCUAGGGGAGCGAACGGG